GUCUUGUAAUUGGAAUGAUGGGAAUUUAAACCUCUUCCAGAGUAUCAAUUGGAGGGCAAGUCUGGUGCCAGCAGCCGCGGUAAUUCCAGCUCCAAUAGCGUAUAUUAAAAUUGUUGCAGUUAAAAAGCUCGUAGUUGAAUUUCUGCUGCAUUACAUAUCUCUUGUUUGAGUUUGUUUUUGUGGCUUAUUUCGGUUUGAUUUUUUCUUUCCGGAUGAUUACUUUGAGAAAAUUAGAGUGCUCAAAGCAGGCUUUUGCCUUGAAUAGUUUAGCAUGGAAUAAUAAAGUAGGACUUUGGUUCUAUUUUGUUGGUUUUAGGUACCAAAGUAAUGGUUAAUAGGAACAGUUGGGGGCAUUCGUAUUUAACUGUCAGAGGUGAAAUUCUUAGAUUUGUUAAAGACGAACUACUGCGAAAGCAUUUGCCAAGGAUGUUUUCAUUAAUCAAGAACGAAAGUUAGGGGAUCGAAGACGAUCAGAUACCGUCGUAGUCCUAACCAUAAACUAUGCCGACUAGAGAUUGGAGGUCGUCAGUUUUUACGACUCCUUCAGCACCUUGAGAGAAAUCAAAGUCUUUGG
Molecule: ribosomal RNA, 574 nt
Filed under: Theileria sergenti
Lineage: Eukaryota; Apicomplexa; Aconoidasida; Piroplasmida; Theileriidae
Description: SSU rRNA
Rfam family: Eukaryotic small subunit ribosomal RNA
Source: RNAcentral